GACGAACGCUGGCGGCGUGCUUAACACAUGCAAGUCGAACGGAAAGGCCCUGCUUUUGUGGGGUGCUCGAGUGGCGAACGGGUGAGUAACACGUGAGUAACCUGCCCUUGACUUUGGGAUAACUUCAGGAAACUGGGGCUAAUACCGGAUAGGAGCUCCUGCUGCAUGGUGGGGGUUGGAAAGUUUCGGCGGUUGGGGAUGGACUCGCGGCUUGUCAGCUUGUUGGUGGGGUAGUGGCUUACCAAGGCUUUGACGGGUAGCCGGCCUGAGAGGGUGACCGGCCACAUUGGGACUGAGAUACGGCCCAGACUCCUACGGGAGGCAGCAGUGGGGAAUAUUGCACAAUGGGCGGAAGCCUGAUGCAGCAACGCCGCGUGCGGGAUGACGGCCUUAGGGUUGUAAACCGCUUUCGCCUGUGACGAAGCGUGAGUGACGGUAAUGGGUAAAGAAGCACCGGCUAACUACGUGCCAGCAGCCGCGGUGAUACGUAGGGUGCGAGCGUUGUCCGGAUUUAUUGGGCGUAAAGGGCUCGUAGGUGGUUGAUCGCGUCGGAAGUGUAAUCUUGGGGCUUAACCCUGAGCGUGCUUUCGAUACGGGUUGACUUGAGGAAGGUAGGGGAGAAUGGAAUUCCUGGUGGAGCGGUGGAAUGCGCAGAUAUCAGGAGGAACACCAGUGGCGAAGGCGGUUCUCUGGGCCUUUCCUGACGCUGAGGAGCGAAAGCGUGGGGAGCGAACAGGCUUAGAUACCCUGGUAGUCCACGCUGUAAACGGUGGGUACUAGGUGUGGGGUCCAUUCCACGGGUUCCGUGCCGUAGCUAACGCUUUAAGUACCCCGCCUGGGGAGUACGGCCGCAAGGCUAAAACUCAAAGGAAUUGACGGGGCCCCGCACAAGCGGCGGAGCAUGCGGAUUAAUUCGAUGCAACGCGUAGAACCUUACCUGGGUUUGACAUGGAUCGGGAGCGCUCAGAGAUGGGUGUGCCUCUUUUGGGGUCGGUUCACAGGUGGUGCAUGGCUGUCGUCAGCUCGUGUCGUGAGAUGUUGGGUUAAGUCCCGCAACGAGCGCAACCCUUGUUCACUGUUGCCAGCACGUUAUGGUGGGGACUCAGUGGAGACCGCCGGGGUCAACUCGGAGGAAGGUGGGGAUGACGUCAAGUCAUCAUGCCCCUUAUGUCCAGGGCUUCACGCAUGCUACAAUGGCUGGUACAGAGAGUGGCGAGCCUGUGAGGGUGAGCGAAUCUCGGAAAGCCGGUCUCAGUUCGGAUUGGGGUCUGCAACUCGACCUCAUGAAGUCGGAGUCGCUAGUAAUCGCAGAUCAGCAACGCUGCGGUGAAUACGUUCCCGGGGCUUGUACACACCGCCCGUCAGGUCAUGAAAGUUGGUAACACCCGAAGCCGGUGGCCUAACCGUUGUGGGGGAGCCGUCGAAGGUGGGACUGGUGAUUAGGACUAAGUCGUAACAAGGUAGCCGUACCGGAAGG
Molecule: ribosomal RNA, 1477 nt
Filed under: uncultured sheep mite bacterium Llangefni 35
Lineage: Bacteria; Bacillati; Actinomycetota; Actinomycetes; Actinomycetales
Description: bacterial SSU rRNA
Rfam family: Bacterial small subunit ribosomal RNA
Source: RNAcentral